GGCCUUGACAUACUAAGAACUUUCCAGUGAUGGAUUGGUGCCUUCGGGAACUUAGAUACAGGUGCUGCAUGGCUGUCGUCAGCUCGUGUCGUGAGAUGUUGGGUUAAGUCCCGNAACGAGCGCAACCCUUUUCCUUAUUUGCCAGCGGGUCAUGCCGGGAACUUUAAGGAUACUGCCAGUGACAAACUGGAGGAAGGCGGGGACGACGUCAAGUCAUCAUGGCCCUUACGGCCAGGGCUACACACGUGCUACAAUGGUCGGUACAAAGGGUUGCUACCUCGCGAGAGGAUGCUAAUCUCAAAAAGCCGAUCGUAGUCCGGAUCGCAGUCUGCAACUCGACUGCGUGAAGUCGGAAUCGCUAGUAAUCGCGGAUCAGAAUGCCGCGGUGAAUACGUUCCCGGGCCUUGUACACACCGCCCGUCACACCAUGGGAGUUUGUUGCACCAGAAGUAGGUAGUCUAACCGCAAGGAGGACGCUUACCACGGUGUGGCCGAUGACUGGGGUGAAGUCGUAACAAGGUAAGCGUAGAUGA
This 533-nucleotide ribosomal RNA is filed under the name uncultured bacterium. RNAcentral's name for it is "bacterial SSU rRNA". It matches the Rfam family "Bacterial small subunit ribosomal RNA", at positions 977 to 1509 of the family's 1533-position model. The record is from RNAcentral.